AAUAUUCAGUUUCAACACACACCUCAGAUGGAGAGGUCCUAAAAAUAUGGUCCAGGUAUAAAAAACCUGGACUAAAAAGGAAACCAACAAAAAAUCUUGGAAUUCGACAAUUUCAGUGGGGUACUACAAAAUAUUUUUGUGGGCCACAGGCUAUUCAACAUCAAAUAUUUUUGUAAUCACCCGUUUGGCACUAUAUUUAAUGAACCCAAGCUAGAGCUCAUAGGCAUGAACUCUUGGAGACAACAAUUUUAAUGCCACAGGAAAAUUUUUUUAGUGACCUUAAAAAAUGCCGAACUACAAAAAUCGUAGUCCAAGACUUUAAUUUAUGAGCACACAAUAAAGUCAGGUCCCAACUGGGCUUGAAUAUAAUCAGAUUCAACACACACCUCAGAUCUAAAGGUUUUAAAUUUAGUCUAGAAUAAAUCAAAAAUUCUCCCAUUACGCAUUAGAGUCAGCGUCACUUCUUACUUAAAGCAAUACAAUUUCUGUGGCUUCCACAAAAUGGAGGCCAUAUUCAAAAACAUGCCCAAGGAACCAAGUCGGAGAUCUUGGCAUAAUUCCUUGGAUGCAUCUAUGCAUUUACCUGAGUAACCACUGCUUUAAACCUUCGAGUAACGAGAACAUCUGAGGGGCAGACACGUUCAGAGAUAUCAAAAAUUCCAGACAUCAAUCAACGCCUCGAUGUCGCUGGUUUCACCGGCAUGC
Molecule: small RNA, 705 nt
Filed under: Drosophila ananassae
Lineage: Eukaryota; Metazoa; Arthropoda; Insecta; Diptera; Drosophilidae
Description: GF27587
Source: RNAcentral